This 522-nucleotide ribosomal RNA is filed under the name uncultured bacterium. RNAcentral's name for it is "bacterial SSU rRNA". It matches the Rfam family "Bacterial small subunit ribosomal RNA", at positions 8 to 531 of the family's 1533-position model. The record is from RNAcentral.
AGGGUUUGAUCCUGGCUCAGGAUGAACGCUAGCGGCAGGCCUAACACAUGCAAGUCGAGGGGUAGUUACUUUCGGGUAAUGAGACCGGCGCACGGGUGCGUAACGCGUAUGCAAUCUACCUUUUACAGGGGAAUAGCCCAGAGAAAUUUGGAUUAAUGCCCCAUAGUAUGUAUGAAUCGCAUGGUUUAUACAUUAAAGUUCCAACGGUAAAAGAUGAGCAUGCGUCCCAUUAGUUAGUUGGUAAGGUAACGGCUUACCAAGACGAUGAUGGGUAGGGGUCCUGAGAGGGAGAUCCCCCACACUGGUACUGAGACACGGACCAGACUCCUACGGGAGGCAGCAGUGAGGAAUAUUGGACAAUGGGCGCAAGCCUGAUCCAGCCAUGCCGCGUGCAGGAAGAAGCAUCUAUGGUGUGUAAACUGCUUUUGUACGGGAAGAAACACUCCUACGUGUAGGAGCUUGACGGUACCGUAAGAAUAAGGAUCGGCUAACUCCGUGCCAGCAGCCGCGGUAAUACGGAGG